Molecule: non-coding RNA, 5058 nt
Organism: Lonchura striata (white-rumped munia)
Lineage: Eukaryota; Metazoa; Chordata; Aves; Passeriformes; Estrildidae
Source: RefSeq, a predicted model, not a curated record
GAGCCGCGCCGCGCUGAGGGGAGCGGAGCCGAGGGGAGCGGAGCCGAGCCGCGCUGAGGGGAGCGGAGCCGAGGGGAGCGGGCCGGGCCGCGCCGCUGUCACACGCCCGUGCCGCAUCAGCGCUGGCCCCUCCCCGCCCGCGGCCCAACCGCACCGCAUCUGCAUGGAGCAAAGUGAAAAAUGACACUGCAGCAAAAUUCUUUCAACUGAUCAGACAAGCAGUUUCCUCUAGCUUUCGAUAUCUAUUCAAGAAACCACAAACUGUUUGCUGCAGAAAGUAUGUAUUCAGAAAAGGUGAACGUUGCAUAAGGAUCCUGGGCUGAGUCAGAGCCACUUGAAGGUUUGCAGAAAGCCAGAGCAUGGGAUGAGCUGAAUAGACACCACACUCAGUUUCUCCCAGAGGAGCCAGCAGUUUUGCUCUUAUUUUUCUGUGAUGUGCUGAUGUUCUGUGAGUGCUGAAAUUCAACAAUAUGAAGAGCUCUGGGCCUGAUUUAAUGAUUUUUAUGACCUGAGAGAAUGCAGUUACAAUAUUUGGACAUAAGGAGCUUGCAAGAAGGCUGCCUGCCAAACAGAUUUCCUUAACUAUGACAGUCCUGUGCCCCCCAGGAUGCCCCUCUGCUCCUCUCUGGGGCCACUGCAUCAUUCUGGCUGCAACGGAGGUUUCCCCAUCCUACCACAGCAGCUGCACACCACAGCCCUCUCUGUGCUCCACAGUGAUAUGUUAAUCCAGUCUGGCAACCUGCACUGGGCACUGCUUUCAGGUGUUUGCUACGAAAAAGGGAGAAUUUGCAAACAUAAACACUUACCUACCUGCAGCCAAAGAGCUGGAGCUGUGCUACAAACAGCAACUGCACCUUUGCCUGGUCCUUCUGUGGUUUAAAAUCACAUCUAAAAAAAUCCUGCAACCUACCAGCUAGUGAGCUCAAGGAAGCAGGUAACAAGAGCAUGAACAAAUUCCAGGUAUGAGUUCUGCACACUCAAGAGGCAAAUUUUAAUUUGGCAAAUUUCAGAAUACUGUAACAGAUUUCAGUGGGAUCUAGGUUUAGCAAGAGAUGGAAAGCAAGGCUGCAAAAUCAUAGGGGAAGGAAAAGCAGAAGGAACACACAAGAUGCCUAAAGGACAUGCUGGAAGUUUUCCCAGAACUUACUAGUUUGGAGGUUAAGCCUAUUCAAUGACUACAGAAGGAAUGGAAAGAGUGGUCUAAGGAAAAAGCACAGGAUGAAGAAUAAAGACCAAGCACUAAUGCUAUCUGUGAGGCUUUAGCCACAUCAUUUAUCUUCAUUAUUCUUUUUCCCUCUUCCACUGCCUUGCCUAUUUAAACCAAAAAUUACAAGAGCAUAAACACUGUUAUCUCUAUUGAAGUCAUCACAUGGAGACUGAUGCAGGACCCUUGGGCAAUGCUGAUACUUAUGAGACACUGCUCCUAGCUAAAGCUCAUCUGUUUCUAAAACAAGCUUCUGUGUCCUCUAAAACACAAGGCAGAUUAUUUACUCCACUGCAAACACUACAGUAAAAGAAAAAAAAAAAAAAAAACAGAGGAGAAUGGUUCAAGAUGAGUUUCACAUAGAAAAUCUCUCAAUGACAGGGCCUGUCACUGUGCCAAGUGAGCCAGGAUCCCUGGUGGACAAAGGAAUACAGAGCUUGAGGAAGAAAGUAGGCUUGGGGACAAGUGUUGAAACAAAUGGUUCCAAGACCUCUAACUUUCAAUACAGGUUACUCUUCUCCCAAGUUUCUCAAAUUGAAAUGCUAAUACAAAUAUAUUCCAAACAAGAAAUAUUAUGUUAGGUUUGGUAUCAUUGUAUUGCAUGCUGGAGAAAACUUACUACUAGUUUUGCUAGUUUAGAUUAGUUCUAGAAAUACUUUAUACAGGUAUUAAUUACGUCAACUACAGCAUCACUUGCAUAUUACCCCAUACCUAAUGUAUGAGACAGCAUAUACUUUGUUACUGCUGUCUGGUGACUGGGUCACUUUCUAAAGGCAUGCCCUAUGACAGUAUCCUCUCUCCAAAUUAUCCUACAACUUCAGUAAAGCUCACUACCAUAUUCUGCUGUGCAGGGGAGAAAAGCUCUUUCAAUUUACGUCUCUACAUGCAAGCCUUUAAAAUCAUGUGGCAUAUACUUUAUUCAAACUAAAAUUUUUUAUGUUACAGCCUUUCUUGCUCACAAAAAGCAGAAAAUCAACCCACACUACUAAAAAAUUAUGAAUUUGUAAAGUAGAUCCAAAGAAGGAUAGUUAAAGUUCUCCUGGAAAGGGCUGGAAAUCAUGAAGGAAAUGUUUCAGUGGCUGUUCAUGAUGAACAGAUCACAGGCAUCAGAGCACACAGCGCCAGAGGCUGCUGGUGGGGCUGCCACAACAGUGGAGCUUCAGGACAGAGCUGUGUGCUGCCUCCCCAGCAAGUCACCCAGCACACUGCCAGAAGUGCUCUCCAGACAAGACCUAUCACUGCACAGCCAGCCAAGGCUGCAAUUACAAAACUAACUUCAUACCCCAAGACAAGAUGACCCACAUCCCAAAUAACUUCUGUAGAUGUCAGGCUCUGGAGUGGGACAUAAAGCCUGCUGAGACUGAAAAGCUUGGAAAGAAAUGAAAUAAGAACCUACACAUAUAUACAUGCAAAAUAAUUAUAAAGUUGUCACUUGAGGGCACAUGAUCAAUCCAAAGAAAUGUCGCUGAGAACACAGAUCAGAAAGGGGCCUGAUAAAGGAAUUUAUAGCACGGAUACAGGCACUGUGAGAACUUCAUUACACUGUGUAGACACAUUUGUGUGCAUAUUUAUCCAAGAAAGAAACUGGGAAGAGAGGGAGAAAAGCAAGUGAGAACAGUUUCAAACCCAUGCUAAGGGUCAUAUUCCUCCUUCCUCAAUAGCAAUGGACCAAAACACACAUUUCAGCAGUACCCCAGUGUGGCAUCUGGGUGGUCAGGCUACUACACAGUCACACCACAGAGAAAGGAAAACACUUUCUAAGACAGCAUUCUUAAAAGAUUAAGCCAAUAAGAUACAGAAAUCUUGAGUGAUGGAGCUUGAACAACUUCAACAGAAAAAAAAAAAAGAAGAUCCAGGGGAAAGAGAUCACACAAAAUCAAGUGAGGAAAUAUCAUAAAACAUCAGAAGCUAACUGAGAAUUUGUAACAACUCUAAAAUAUUUGUUAGGAGCUAUAGUGAAAGGACAAGGAGUAAUCGCAGAUGCAAUUUGGUGCAAUUGAAAAGGGUGCCAAUUGAAAGAGGAGAAAUUUAGGUCAGAUAUUACAAAGAAAUUUUUACUGUGAGGGUGGUUAAGCAUUGGAACAGGUUUCCCAGGGAGACUGUCACUGGCCCAUCCCUGGCAGUGUUGAAGGCCAGGUUGGAUAAGGCCUUGAGCAGCCUAGUCUAGUGGGAGGUGUCCCUGCCCAUGGCAGGAGGGGUUGGGAUUAUGAUCUGUGAGGCCCAUUCCAACCCCUUAACAUUCUAUGAUUCUAUGAUUUUUUCAGGCAGAAAAAAAAAAUAAAAAUCAAAUCAAACUAGCAGAUUAUAUUCACACUCACAUUAAAAUGCAAAUCACAGAAACUCUUCAUAACAUUUUGCUAAUUCAGACCUCAAGAUAUUUCAGGUAAUAUUAAUUCAGGAACAAUUCCUGCCCAUGGCAAGUCUAUGAAACAAAAUCAACAGGAUCAUUUAUUACUGGUUUUGAAUUCUAGGCACAGUCAUACAAAGAUGUCAGUUUGAAAGGGACUUAGCCCAAAAAAACUAUGUUAUUCACAGGACUGCAGAAUAAUGACAUGGCAUCUGACAGGGCAUUCAACUUGACUCCUUCCUUUCACCAGUGUAACUAAUUAAUUCAGAUAGGUAUAAUGCAAGCAGCUUUUUCUCCAGCAUUGUCUUACACCACAAAGAGUAGCUGCAUAUUUCUAUGUACUCCAAUAACUAAGGUGACAUGAAAAUCCAGCCAUCUGAAGCACCUGCAGAUCCUGGGCCACAGAGACAAGCAAAAAAGCAAAACAAAAAGCUGUUCUAGAAAAGGAUACAAUGCUAGAUUUUUUUUCCCUUGUACAUAAUAUUUACUGCAAUAUUGCUAAAACAGCCUCAAGAGAGAGGAAAAAAACUAGCUGUGUCAAUAUAAACAAUGAUUUUGCUAUUAGCCUUUACCCAGAUAAUCCAAAUAUGUAAACUACUUUAGCAUCAGAUGUACAGUAACAAAUGCUGCACCUGCUGUACAGCUGAGAUUUCUGAAAUAAUACUUAGUUGGCAAAAAAAAAGCUAAAAAUAAAUUCAAGCUGUUUAAAAUGGGAAAAAAAAAAACACCAACCCGCAGGAAACAAAUACAUAAGCACUCAAUGGUGUGAGAAAAAAAAGUAAUUUGUAUGCAGAAAUGUAGAAAGAAAGAUGGUUCUGAAUGACAUUAAAAGUUCACAAGACACAUUAAACCCAGAAUUUUGAGGAGUAUGAAAUCCCAUACUACAUUGAAGUAAACAGCAAGUGCACCUAAAGGUUCUGUUCCACUUCUGGCCACCUUCAUACCAACAAGAGCAAUCAAAAUUCAGAAAAACAGAACAAAUUGCAGAGGUGAUCUGACAUUGGAAUUUGAGAAUUCCAAAGUAAACAAUGACUGAGAAGACUCCUGUAGGAAUCAGCUGAAAGGAAUGGAAGCACAAACAUCAAAUGAAAUAAUUUUUAUUUUGGCUCAAGGGAGAGUACAAGUGGAAAGCUAUUAAUUGAUUUUGCAACCUAAUGAAGGACUAAGCACAUACAAAUUAAGUCCUGCAAUGAAAACAACCGUGGUGCCUGGCCCCAAGGAGAAUUUGGAAAUGUGGGGUAAAGUGCUUUGACUACCCAGUGUGGAAACCUCCCACUCGAGGGAGCUCCCUAGAACCAGCUCCCAGGAACACCAAACACAAAUGUUCAACCAUUCAUUGCAGAGCUCAGAGAUCUCAAUUAAGGUCACAUAGGAGACAUGCUUGCUGAUAUACGAUCUAGACCCUGAGCAGGAAUAUAGCCCAAAUAGGUGGUAACACUGAGUAUAAUUCCCUGAAAAAAAAUGGAAGACAGUCCUACCUUAUUAUAUAAUUGUGUGCUGCUAAGUU